This 393-nucleotide ribosomal RNA is filed under the name uncultured bacterium. Its description in RNAcentral is "partial 16S ribosomal RNA". It matches the Rfam family "Bacterial small subunit ribosomal RNA", at positions 523 to 918 of the family's 1533-position model. The record is from RNAcentral.
AUACGGAGGAUCCGAGCGUUAUCCGGAUUUAUUGGGUUUAAAGGGAGCGUAGGUGGACAGUUAAGUCAGUUGUGAAAGUUUGCGGCUCAACCGUAAAAUUGCAGUUGAUACUGGCUGUCUUGAGUACAGUAGAGGUGGGCGGAAUUCGUGGUGUAGCGGUGAAAUGCUUAGAUAUCACGAAGAACUCCGAUUGCGAAGGCAGCUCACUGGACUGCAACUGACACUGAUGCUCGAAAGUGUGGGUAUCAAACAGGGUUAGAUACCCUGGUAGUCCACACAGUAAACGAUGAAUACUCGCUGUUUGCGAUAUACAGUAAGCGGCCAAGCGAAAGCAUUAAGUAUUCCACCUGGGGAGUACGCCGGCAACGGUGAAACUCAAAGGAAUUGACGGGG